Molecule: ribosomal RNA, 434 nt
Filed under: uncultured Clostridium sp.
Lineage: Bacteria; Bacillati; Bacillota; Clostridia; Eubacteriales; Clostridiaceae
Description: partial 16S ribosomal RNA
Rfam family: Bacterial small subunit ribosomal RNA
Source: RNAcentral
ACGGGAGGCAGCAGUGGGGAAUAUUGCGCAAUGGGGGGAACCCUGACGCAGCAACGCCGCGUGAGUGAGGAAGUAUUUCGGUAUGUAAAGCUCUAUCAACGGGGACGAUAAUGACGGUACCCGAGUAAGAAGUCCCGGCUAACUACGUGCCAGCAGCCGCGGUAAUACGUAGGGGACAAGCGUUAUCCGGAUUUACUGGGUGUAAAGGGUGCGUAGGCGGCAAAGCAAGUCAGAAGUGAAAGCCCGCGGCUCAACUGCGGGACUGCUUUUGAAACUGUUUAGCUAGAGUACUGGAGGGGCAAGCGGAAUUCCUGGUGUAGCGGUGGAAUGCGUAGAUAUCAGGAGGAACACCGGUGGCGAAGGCGGCCUGCUGGACAGUAACUGACGUUGAGGCUCGAAAGCGUGGGGAGCAAACAGGAUUAGAUACCCUGGUA